RNAcentral lists this long non-coding RNA (480 nucleotides) under Coturnix japonica (Japanese quail). RNAcentral describes it as "lncRNA (ENSCJPG00005016904.1)". Lineage: Eukaryota; Metazoa; Chordata; Aves; Galliformes; Phasianidae. The record is from RNAcentral.
AUGGAGAAAGAGCAGAUCUGUGAGAAUCUUUACCAGCUCUUCUGCUCUGUGCUGAGGAACUGGCAGGACUGCAAGGAGGAAAAGGACAAACAGGCCAUCCUCAGGGCUGUGGCUGCCAUGAUGGCUGUCCUCCUGCAAGAGGAGCUGCACCAAGAGCAUGUCUGGGAGCAGCUCCUCUGGCUUGUGCACCAGUAUCAGGAGGUCCAAGACACCUGCAGGGGGACCAAGAGCCUCAGUAUCUUCCUGGAGGCCUUAGAGGGCGUUGAGACUGUCAUCCCCAAGGACAAGUUUCUGGCCAUCACCAGUGCUGUGUUCUAUCAGCUCUCUGAUGACACCAAGCAGCACAGCGAGGCUGACAUAGCAGAGCUGACCCACUGCAUCCUGCUGCAGGGUAAGGAGAAGAGCUUUGGCGAUGUUUGGUGGUGCCCUGGCCAAAACCUCUCUUGCAAACCUCUAGAAUGGGCGCAAGUUUCUUGCUAA